This 322-nucleotide long non-coding RNA is filed under the name Rhinopithecus bieti (black snub-nosed monkey). RNAcentral describes it as "lncRNA (ENSRBIG00000046531.1)". The record is from RNAcentral. Lineage: Eukaryota; Metazoa; Chordata; Mammalia; Primates; Cercopithecidae.
CACCCUCUCUUUUCUCUCUCUAUCUGCCUCCCGCCUUCUCAGGCUCAUUCCUCAUCCAUCAAGAAGUCCGAGGAACCUAAGGUCUAGGCCCAGCCUGGCUAUGGAGUAAAAGUUCAGGAGUCACUCUGGGAAAGUCGAGGAAAAUGGAACUCUAGGCUUCAGAGAGAGGACUGGCCUGGGACACAGCAGGCAGAUGAGCAGGUUAGACAUGGUCCGAGGAAUACUUUCUGCCGCAUUGGAUCAGCAAUCUGCCUGCACCUUUGACAUCUCGUAAUUGAGGUAUGUCAGGGUCCAAAGUAAGAAUUCAUGAAAGCUCUGUGUA